GAUGAACGCUGGCGGCGUGCCUAAUACAUGCAAGUCGAGCGAACGGACGAGAAGCUUGCUUUUCUGAUGUUGGCGGCGGACGGGUGAGUAACACGUGGAUAACCUACCUAUAAGACUGGGAUAACUUCGGGAAACCGGAGCUAAUACCGGAUAAUAUUUUGAACCGCAUGGUUCAAAAGUGAAAGACGGUCUUGCUGUCACUUAUAGAUGGAUCCGCGCUGCAUUAGCUAGUUGGUAAGGUAACGGCUUACCAAGGCAACGAUGCAUAGCCGACCUGAGAGGGUGAUCGGCCACACUGGAACUGAGACACGGUCCAGACUCCUACGGGAGGCAGCAGUAGGGAAUCUUCCGCAAUGGGCGAAAGCCUGACGGAGCAACGCCGCGUGAGUGAUGAAGGUCUUCGGAUCGUAAACUCUGUUAUUAGGGAAGAACAUAUGUGUAAGUAACUGUGCACAUCUUGACGGUACCUAAUCAGAAAGCCACGGCUAACUACGUG
RNAcentral lists this ribosomal RNA (496 nucleotides) under uncultured bacterium. RNAcentral's name for it is "partial 16S ribosomal RNA". It matches the Rfam family "Bacterial small subunit ribosomal RNA", at positions 28 to 507 of the family's 1533-position model. The record is from RNAcentral.